GAUGAACGCUGGCGGCGUGCCUAAUACAUGCAAGUCGAGCGAACGGACGAGAAGCUUGCUUCUCUGAUGUUAGCGGCGGACGGGUGAGUAACACGUGGAUAACCUACCUAUAAGACUGGGAUAACUUCGGGAAACCGGAGCUAAUACCGGAUAAUAUUUUGAACCGCAUGGUUCAAAAGUGAAAGACGGUCUUGCUGUCACUUAUAGAUGGAUCCGCGCUGCUUUAGCUAGUUGGUAAGGUAACGGCUUACCAAGGCAACGAUGCAUAGCCGACCUGAGAGGGUGAUCGGCCACACUGGAACUGAGACACGGUCCAGACUCCUACGGGAGGCAGCAGUAGGGAAUCUUCCGCAAUGGGCGAAAGCCUGACGGAGCAACGCCGCGUGAGUGAUGAAGGUCUUCGGAUCGUAAAACUCUGUUAUUAGGGAAGAACAUAUGUGUAAGUAACUGUGCACAUCUUGACGGUACCUAAUCAGAAAGCCACGGCUAACUACGUG
RNAcentral lists this ribosomal RNA (497 nucleotides) under uncultured bacterium. RNAcentral describes it as "partial 16S ribosomal RNA". It matches the Rfam family "Bacterial small subunit ribosomal RNA", at positions 28 to 507 of the family's 1533-position model. The record is from RNAcentral.